RNAcentral lists this ribosomal RNA (252 nucleotides) under uncultured bacterium. Its description in RNAcentral is "partial 16S ribosomal RNA". It matches the Rfam family "Bacterial small subunit ribosomal RNA", at positions 524 to 776 of the family's 1533-position model. The record is from RNAcentral.
UACGUAGGGUCCGAGCGUUGUCCGGAGUUACUGGGCGUAAAGGGUGCGCAGGCGGCCAGGUGUGUGAGGCGUGAAAGCCCGGGGCUUAACCCCGGAAUUGCACCUCAAACUACAUGGCUAGAGCAUUGGAGAGGGUAGCAGAAUUCACGGUGUAGCAGUGAAAUGCGUAGAUAUCGUGAGGAAUACCAGAGGCGAAGGCGGCUACCUGGACAAUUGCUGACGCUCAGGCACGAAAGCGUGGGAGCAAAAGGG